RNAcentral lists this ribosomal RNA (778 nucleotides) under uncultured bacterium. RNAcentral describes it as "bacterial SSU rRNA". It matches the Rfam family "Bacterial small subunit ribosomal RNA", at positions 723 to 1501 of the family's 1533-position model. The record is from RNAcentral.
GGCCUUCUGGACUGACACUGACACUGAGGUGCGAAAGCGUGGGUAGCAAACAGGAUAAGAUACCCUGGUAGUCCACGCCGUAAACGAUGUCGACCAGCCGUUGGGUGCCUAGCGCACUUUGUGGCGAAGUUAACGCGAUAAGUCGACCGCCUGGGGAGUACGGCCGCAAGGUUAAAACUCAAAUGAAUUGACGGGGGCCCGCACAAGCGGUGGAGCAUGUGGUUUAAUUCGAUGCAACGCGAAGAACCUUACCUACUCUUGACAUCCUGCGAAUUUGGUAGAGAUACCUUAGUGCCUUCGGGAACGCAGAGACAGGUGCUGCAUGGCUGUCGUCAGCUCGUGCUGUGAAAUGUUGGGUUAAGUCCCGUAACGAGCGCAACCCUUGUCCUUAUUUGCCAGCGCGUAAUGGCGGGAACUCUAAGGAGACUGCCGGUGACAAACCGGAGGAAGGUGGGGACGACGUCAAGUCAUCAUGGCCCUUACGAGUAGGGCUACACACGUGCUACAAUGGUCGGUACAAAGGGUUGCCAACUCGCGAGAGUGAGCCAAUCCCGAAAAGCCGAUCUCAGUCCGGAUCGGAGUCUGCAACUCGACUCCGUGAAGUCGGAAUCGCUAGUAAUCGUGGAUCAGAAUGCCACGGUGAAUACGUUCCCGGGCCUUGUACACACCGCCCGUCACACCAUGGGAGUGGACUGCACCAGAAGUGGUUAGCCUAACGCAAGAGGGCGAUCACCACGGUGUGGUUCAUGACUGGGGGUGAAGUCGUAACAAGGUAACC